CAAGCUGCUCUUAGCUGCGAUCUGUCAUCUGCAGACUGAGCUUGGUGCAUGGUGGUUAUGAAACUGGCCAGACCAACAAUAGAUGGAAAAGCUUCCUCUUUUUGGCCCUGGGCCCCAGGGAGCGAGGUCAGGCUGAAUUGUACCCUCCCAAAUUCAUACGUUAAAGUCCUAAGCCCUGGGACCACACAAUGUGGCUGUAUUUGGAGGUUACCUCUUUAAAGAGUUAACUACAGUAAAAUGAGGUCACCAGGAGUGGGCCCUGAUCCAAUAGGACCGGUGUCCUCAUAAGAAGAGGAGAUGAGGACACAGACACACACAGAGGGACGACCCUGUGAGGACACAGGUAGAAGACGGCGUCUCCAAGCCCAGGAGAGGGGCCUCAGGAGGAACCAGCCCUGCCCACACCUGGAUCUCAGACCUCCAGCCUCCAGGACUGUGGGAGAAUCAAUGUCUGUUGUUUCUAAGACACCCAGUCUACGGUAUUCUGUGAUAGCAGCCUGAGAUGGACUAAAACAUCUCAUAAGAAGAGGAGGUGAGGACACAGACACACACAGAGGGAUGACCCUGUGAGGACACAGGGAGAAGACGGCGUCUCCAAGUCCACAAGAGAGGCCUCAGGAGGAACCAGCCCUGCCCACACCUGGAUCUCAGAACUCCAGCCUCCAGGACUGUGGGAGAAUCAAUGUCUGUUGUUUCUAAGACACCCAGUCUACGGUAUUCUGUGAUAGCAGCCUGAGAUGGACUAAAGCAUCUCAUAAGAAGAGGAGAUGAGGACACAGAUACAGAGGGACGACCCUGUGAGCACACAGGGAGAAGACGGCGUCUCCAAGCCCAGGAGAGAGGCCUCAGGAGGAACCAGCCCUGCCCACACCUGGAUCUCAGACUUCCAGCCUCCACGACCGUGGGAGAAUCAAUGUGUUUUGUUUCUAAGCCGCCCAGCCUCUGGUAUUCUGUGACAGCAGCCUGAGAUGGACUAAGACAUCUCAUAAGAAGAGAUGAGGACACAGACACACACAGAGGGACAACCCUGUGAGGACACAGGUAGAAGACGGCGUCUCCAAGCCCAGGAGAGGGGCCUCAGGGGGAACCAGCCCUGCCCAUACCUGGAUCUCAGACCUCCAGCCUCCAGGGCUGUGGGAGAAUCAAUGUGUUUUGUUUCUAAGCUGCCCAGCCUCUGGUAUUCUGUGACAGCAGCCUGAGAUGGACUAAAUCAUCUCAUAAGAAGAGGACAUGAGGACACAGACACACACCAAGGGACAACCCUGUGGGACACAGGGAGAAGACGGGGUCUCCAAGCCCAGGAGAGAGGCCUCAGGAGGAACCAGCCCUGCCCACACCUGGAUCUCAGACCUCCAGCCUCCAGGACUGUGGGAGAAUCAAUGUCUGUGGUUUACAGUCCACCCAGUUUGCAGUGUUUUAUUACGGCGGCCGAGCUAACUACCCAUUCACUCUGAAGCAGUCGGGAGAAGGCAGACGUCAGAGAUGCUGCCGAAACCUAGGCUGAAUGGACGUGAACUUGGGAUGCUGCCGAGACCUAGGCUGAAUGGACGUGAACUUGGGUACCACUGGCUUCUCCCUGCUGUUGAAUCCCAAAGACCAUCUCGAGGCCAUCUGGAGUCAUGCUCCCCAGCCGGCUUCUCAGUAGAGACAGCACGUUACGGGGUGGGAAAUGGUUAUUCACAGUUGUUCAGUGGCUGCCUGCCUUGGCGUUGGGGAGCCACAUGAGAAUGCUCACAGCCACAGCCCUCCCGGGUGCGACUCCCCGGGAUCCCGCCCUCUGC
Long non-coding RNA from Pan troglodytes (chimpanzee), 1781 nucleotides. RefSeq lists it as uncharacterized. The record is from RefSeq and is a predicted model, not a curated record. The transcript has 2 exons. NCBI's taxonomy places the organism in Eukaryota, Metazoa, Chordata, Mammalia, Primates, Hominidae.